Molecule: non-coding RNA, 588 nt
Filed under: Pongo abelii (Sumatran orangutan)
Lineage: Eukaryota; Metazoa; Chordata; Mammalia; Primates; Hominidae
Source: RNAcentral
CCUCAGAGGUAGCAAAGAAGAGGAGGAGGAGGGUAAGAUGAGACAACAGAAGUAUUAACUUGUGAAACAACCUCAGAGCAGCAUUCUAAACAUCAGCUGGGAUGCACAGAAUUGCAACUAUUUACACAAAGCCAGCAAGUUAUUAAGAAUGAACACAAGGCUAGGGCGUUUGUGAUCCCGGUUUUAGUGGCUGAAAUUGUAAUUAAACUGCGAAGAGAAAUGGACGCUAAGAUUGGCCUUGACACUAAUUACCAGAAAGAAAGACAUUUAUGCAAAUGUAUCAGAAGGCUGAACUUCAGCCAUUCUGAACCCUCCCCCCCCUGUGUGUUUGGGGGUAAGGGACCCAGGUGACCGCUCACCUCCCCUUCCUCCUGGAGCCCUGAAGUCGGAGGCCCUGAGCCAUGGACGGUAUCUGAGGAUCGGUUUAGCGUAUCUGGCCGGAGAAAUUGGCAACAUUUGCUACGAAUAAAACCCAAGCGUUUCCAGCAGCCAUUUUGAAUUAAGUUUCCCACCCGACAAGCCGUCGUCCCCUCCACUGCACAUCCAGGAUCCGGUGGAGGAGAAAGGCGCCGGGCGGAGGGUUGGGGA